RNAcentral lists this ribosomal RNA (161 nucleotides) under uncultured bacterium. RNAcentral's name for it is "partial 16S ribosomal RNA". It matches the Rfam family "Bacterial small subunit ribosomal RNA", at positions 373 to 526 of the family's 1533-position model. The record is from RNAcentral.
GGGCGCAAGCCUGAUGCAGCCAUGCCGCGUGUGUGAAGAAGGCCUUCGGGUUGUAAAGCUCUUUCAGCGGGGAGGAAGGCGGUGAGGUUAAUAACCUCAGCGCUUGACGUUACCCGCACAAGAAGCACCGGCUAACUCCGUGCCAGCAGCCGCGGUAAUAC